UGGGGAAUAUUGCACAAUGGGCGCAAGCCUGAUGCAGCCAUGCCGCGUGUGUGAAGAAGGCCUUCGGGUUGUAAAGCACUUUCAGCGGGGAGGAAGGCGAUAAGGUUAAUAACCUCAUCGAUUGACGUUACCCGCAGAAGAAGCACCGGCUAACUCCGUGCCAGCAGCCGCGGUAAUACGGAGGGUGCAAGCGUUAAUCGGAAUUACUGGGCGUAAAGCGCACGCAGGCGGUCUGUCAAGUCGGAUGUGAAAUCCCCGGGCUCAACCUGGGAACUGCAUUCGAAACUGGCAGGCUAGAGUCUUGUAGAGGGGGGUAGAAUUCCAGGUGUAGCGGUGAAAUGCGUAGAGAUCUGGAGGAAUACCGGUGGCGGAGGCGGCCCCCUGGACAAAGACUGACGCUCAGGUGCGAAAGCGUGGGGAGCAAACAGG
This 429-nucleotide ribosomal RNA is filed under the name Chloroflexota bacterium. Its description in RNAcentral is "Chloroflexi bacterium partial 16S ribosomal RNA". It matches the Rfam family "Bacterial small subunit ribosomal RNA", at positions 355 to 776 of the family's 1533-position model. The record is from RNAcentral. Lineage: Bacteria; Bacillati; Chloroflexota.